UCGUAACAAGGUUUCCGUAGGUGAACCUGCGGAAGGAUCAUUACAGUAUUCUUUUUGCCAGCGCUUAAUUGCGCGGCGAAAAAACCUUACACACAGUGUUUUUUGUUAUUACAAGAACUUUUGCUUUGGUCUGGACUAGAAAUAGUUUGGGCCAGAGGUUUACUGAACUAAACUUCAAUAUUUAUAUUGAAUUGUUAUUUAUUUAAUUGUCAAUUUGUUGAUUAAAUUCAAAAAAUCUUCAAAACUUUCAACAACGGAUCUCUUGGUUCUCGCAUCGAUGAAGAACGCAGCGAAAUGCGAUAAGUAAUAUGAAUUGCAGAUUUUCGUGAAUCAUCGAAUCUUUGAACGCACAUUGCGCCCUCUGGUAUUCCAGAGGGCAUGCCUGUUUGAGCGUCAUUUCUCUCUCAAACCUUCGGGUUUGGUAUUGAGUGAUACUCUUAGUUGAACUAGGCGUUUGCUUGAAAUGUAUUGGCAUGAGUGGUACUGGAUAGUGCUAUAUGACUUUCAAUGUAUUAGGUUUAUCCAACUCGUUGAAUAGUUUAAUGGUAUAUUUCUCGGUAUUCUAGGCUCGGCCUUACAAUAUAACAAACAAGUUUGACCUCAAAUCAGGUAGGAUUACCCGCUGAACUUAAGCAUAUCA
This 640-nucleotide unclassified non-coding RNA is filed under the name Debaryomyces hansenii. RNAcentral describes it as "sequence contains 18S rRNA gene, ITS1, 5.8S rRNA gene, ITS2, 28S rRNA gene". The stretch from base 243 to 396 matches the Rfam family "5.8S ribosomal RNA". Lineage: Eukaryota; Fungi; Ascomycota; Pichiomycetes; Serinales; Debaryomycetaceae. The record is from RNAcentral.